AUUUAAUAUCACAAUCAGUUUUAAGUCAUGUAUGCUACCCUUCAUCUCAGAGCACUAUAUUCACAUAAACCAUAGUCUCCAGAACAAUAACUCUUGGAUCGCUUUUUCAAAAUUCAUGUUGAUGAUAGUUGCCCUUCUUUUGAUCAACAUCAACUCCCAACCCUGUCACUAAUCUAAUUGAUUAAUACCCUGGUAUUCACCACCUGGGUAUUAAAACCCUAUCAGAGGGGUUU
RNAcentral lists this long non-coding RNA (233 nucleotides) under Physcomitrium patens. RNAcentral describes it as "long non-coding RNA (PPAT_LNC007232)". Lineage: Eukaryota; Viridiplantae; Streptophyta; Bryopsida; Funariales; Funariaceae. The record is from RNAcentral.